Molecule: non-coding RNA, 540 nt
Organism: Pelobates cultripes (western spadefoot toad)
Lineage: Eukaryota; Metazoa; Chordata; Amphibia; Anura; Pelobatidae
Source: the annotation of a GenBank genome assembly
UGGGAAGAGAAGAGUAUGGAGAAGGAAAGGAACUGCUCAUGAUCCAAAGCAUACCACCUCAUCAGUGAAGCAUAGUGGUGGUAGUGUCAUGGCGUGGGCAUGUAUGGCUGGCAAUGUAACUUGUUCUCUUGUAUUUAUUGAUGAUUUGACUGCUGACAAAAGCAGCAGGAUGAAUUCUGCAGUGUUUCGGGCAAUAUUAUCUGCUCAUAUUCAGCCAAAUGCUUCAGAACUCAUUGGACGGCGCUUCACAGUGCAGAUGGACAAUGACCCGAAGCAUAUUGCAAAAGCAACCAAAGAGUUUUUUUAAGGGAAAGAAGUGGAAUGUUAUGCAAUGGCCAAGUCAAUCACCUUACCUGAAUCAGAUUGAUCAUGCAUUUCACUUGAUGAAGACAAAACUGAAGGGAAAAUGCCCCAAGAACAAGCAGGAAUUGAAGACAGUUUCAGUAGAGGCCUGGCAGAGCAUCACCAGGGAUGAAACCCAGCGUCUGGUGAUGUCUAUGCGUUCCAGACUUCAGGCUGUAAUUGACUGCAAAGGAUCUG